This 1305-nucleotide long non-coding RNA is filed under the name Strongylocentrotus purpuratus (purple sea urchin). RNAcentral's name for it is "uncharacterized LOC105441402". The record is from RNAcentral. Lineage: Eukaryota; Metazoa; Echinodermata; Echinoidea; Camarodonta; Strongylocentrotidae.
UAAAAUCAUAUUUUGUUAUUUAUUCUUUUCCUAUGUCUAUCUAUAUUUCUCUCUCUCUUUCUAUCUCUCUCUCUUUCUCUCUCUCUCUCUCUCUCUCUUUGUAUCCAUUCAUUUCAUCUCAUACUUCUAAGAAACAAACUCUGCUUUGUGCUCCUUAUGCAGUUUAGUGCAAUAUAGGUUUGUUCUCACCCAGAUUAUUUUCUUCUCCCAGUUUAAGAACUCUUGCUGGUAGAUAACUUAUUUGCUAGAGCUUUGACCAUCAAUAACACUGGACACAGUGUUUGGGAUUAUAUUGUCUCCCACAGAAUUCGGUGCCCUUUCCCCUUUGUCUAUUCCCUUUAAUAGGACCCUCUUUACUUAAGUGGUGUUUGCAGGUAGAUUGUGUCCCUUCAGGAUGUUGCUACUGUUAAUCUCUGUAUUCAGGAGAAGUAUAGUUUAAAGUGGUUGUACUAAGAAAAGGUGAGCUUUAAGACCAUGCUGUAGAGAGCUGGCUUGGAGUAUUGGGUUUGAGACAAAGGAUGAGUCGUUUUAGUUAAGGAUGCAAGCUUGGUCCUAUCACAUGAUGUUAGGUAACCAAUAAGAAGUCUAGUUGGAAGAAAGGGUAAUGUGGGUCUGGACAGUUUAAUAAAACUUUGAAACUUUAAGUUUCCAGCUCAUUCUCUGCCCAGCUGCCAUUGCUUCGAACACUGCCCUGUAUAUAUUCAAUCUCCAUGUUGGAGCAUGUGCUACUAAAUAUAUCUGUAGCCUCUAUCUGAUUUUCUUCUUCAAAAUAUAUAUACAAAACGUAUAUAUAUCAACUUUACCUUCUUCAAGUUUCUCUAAGUUUUGAGAGAGUUUCCUGUACUAUAUUUGAUUGGGCAUUUCAUCCAACUUCAACCUUUAUGAGUUGCAUGGUUAUCAUCCCAGUUCCUGAUUUUAUAUUGCAAGCAAGUGUUGGCUCUUUUACUAGGCGGAUCUUUUACUAGGCGGAUCUUUUACUAGGGUCUUUUAAUUGAUGAAAUUCAUCAAGCUUCAAGCUAUCGUUCAACUUGUUCCUGUGUUCUGCGUGCUGCGACGUCCUCUUCAACGACACAGAGACGCCGGAUAUAUUGAUCAACCGCGUAUCGCGAGCGAGUUCAUGAACAUUUAAUAAUUUGGUUACUUUAAUAUUUAGAUAAUAGUCGGUUUAGUUAUAAGUUAUAAUACCUUAUAAUGUUAUAGUUGUAAGUUGUGGAAGUUUUGUUUAUUUCAAUGUUUACUUGAUUUGCAGUUGUUAUUGACAACGAGCUAAUAAAGGCAUUGCCAGGUUAUUUUGUUAAAACGUAA